UGGGAAGAACAGAGCCACGAC
This 21-nucleotide microRNA is filed under the name Canis lupus familiaris (dog). Its description in RNAcentral is "cfa-miR-8808 (MIR8808)". Lineage: Eukaryota; Metazoa; Chordata; Mammalia; Carnivora; Canidae. The record is from RNAcentral.